GAUCAUCUAGUUAUUGGCGGAGGUCGCAGAGUGAUGCUCCCAUCAUGCUUCGAACGGAGAGGGCAAAGAGUCAUUGUUCGGAAGACGUUAAUAGGUUGGCUUAUAAAUAUCUCAGAUCUCCAUGCCAAUGGGGCAUCCGUGGUUGAAUUGAAUUUGUUCAGGAAAGUGUUCCAAGAGUUUUAGGACUCCCAUCAAUGGCCACGAAGCCAUUUUUUCUUUUUUAUACGCUUUUAUUUGUAUCCUGUCUGAUAUGUUGUCAUUGCCACGAGGAAAGAAAGGUAUUCUUUUUUUGUUUUUCUUUUUUUCUUUUUCCUUCUGUGUGUGUGUGUGCGCGCGCGUGUUUAUCUUUCCCUAUUAAUUUUGAGUGUGUGCUCACGAGG
This 380-nucleotide long non-coding RNA is filed under the name Elaeis guineensis (African oil palm). RNAcentral describes it as "long non-coding RNA (EGUI_LNC077138)". Lineage: Eukaryota; Viridiplantae; Streptophyta; Magnoliopsida; Arecales; Arecaceae. The record is from RNAcentral.